CCUACGGGGGGCAGCAGUGGGGAAUAUUGCACAAUGGGGGAAACUCUGAUGCAGCGACGCCGCGUGAGUGAAGAAGUAAUUCGUUACGUAAAGCUCUAUCAGCAGGGAAGAAAAUGACGGUACCUGAGUAAGAAGCCCCGGCUAACUACGUGCCAGCAGCCGUGGUAAUACGUAGGGGGCAAGCGUUAUCCGGAUUUACUGGGUGUAAAGGGAGCGUAGACGGUGCGCCAAGUCUGAAGUGAAAUGCCGGAGCUUAACUGCGGAACUGCUUUGAAAACUGGCGAACUAGAGUGCGGGAGGGGUAAGCGGAAUGUCUAGUGUAGCGGUGAAAUGCGGAGAUAUUAGAAGGAACACCGGUGGCGAAGGCGGCUUACUGAACCAUAACUGACGUUGAGGCUCGAAAGCGUGGGGAGCAAACAGGAUUAGAUACCCUAGUAGUC
RNAcentral lists this ribosomal RNA (440 nucleotides) under uncultured bacterium. RNAcentral's name for it is "partial 16S ribosomal RNA". It matches the Rfam family "Bacterial small subunit ribosomal RNA", at positions 338 to 795 of the family's 1533-position model. The record is from RNAcentral.